Molecule: long non-coding RNA, 1053 nt
Organism: Trematomus bernacchii (emerald rockcod)
Lineage: Eukaryota; Metazoa; Chordata; Actinopteri; Perciformes; Nototheniidae
Exons: 4
Source: RefSeq, a predicted model, not a curated record
AGCAAGCAUGAAUAAGCAAAUUCAUUUUUGAAUCUUUAAAGGUUCAAAGACUGUAUGGUUCAAAGUAGCAGAAAGCUUGCCUCCAAACGGCUCUCACCAUGACGGAUAGCGGCUAAAGGUGCUAACAGCGCUAACAAUGCAAACAACGACAGACAGAGUGUAACACAAGUUUACCUGAGGGGGAACUAGAGAAUGUCCGUUUCGUUUUCGCAAAGACGCCUUUGGUCGGGAACUUUCCGUGACCACCAAUAUUCACAGUGGAGUUGAUGGAUGUAGGUUAAGUGGAAGUGUCCCAUCACAGAAUCUCAUACAGAAGAUUGGCAGACCCACUGAUGUCGUGCGUCAUCCCCCGGCCCUGCCAUGGUUCAGGAUGUAACAACAACAACAACAACAACAUCAGCUGGCCUGAUCAUGCAGAGUGUGGCCCCCCACCACCUCCCUCCAGCCAGGGGACACUGACAGGAGACAGGAGGCUGGGCUGACAAGGUGUCCAUGUGCUGUCUGCUAUCUGAGCGCAACAACAGAGCUCUCAAAUCGAUACACCUCCCUCACAUGUUGCUGAGAAGGACGCAUGGGGUGAUUGGUCUUAUUUCCACUUCAUAGUUCGUCACAUGUGACUGUGUGAAGUGGUUUCAGUGAGAGACGCAGCGACUGAACUGUGGCACACUGGGAAAUGAAUGCUUCUUUCCACAAGGAGCAGAUCCCUCCCUCUGAUCACACACUGGACGAUUCACUCAGUGUCACAAAAACUGAUGUCAAGAAGAAGAAAAAAUAUGACAAACACAGUGGACGGCCACAAAAAAAGAAUGCAUUUGCUGUCACGAAACUAGACUCUGCAGACAUUCCUGCUGCUAUAAGGCUAGCUGUCAGCUCAUAUGGGAUAUGUACCUGUGACACCAAUUCAAGUGUUUAUAGGAAGGCUGCUUGUUUUGAUUAUCAUGUUUUAAGAUAUGGAGAUUUGGAGCAGGGUGAUAUGCUAUACCGUAUGGUUGCAACAUAAACGGUGACACAAUUACACUAGAAAUGGAGGAACCAGUAUGUAUACAGUCUAAG